Molecule: long non-coding RNA, 204 nt
Filed under: Lathyrus oleraceus (garden pea)
Lineage: Eukaryota; Viridiplantae; Streptophyta; Magnoliopsida; Fabales; Fabaceae
Description: Pisum sativum (pea) long non-coding RNA (PSAT_LNC024301)
Source: RNAcentral
UUCCCUACUAUUUCAGCAUGUAACGCUAAACAUUAGCCUCCGAAAACAUUAAUCACUAAUAUAAAACUCUAAAGUGGAGUUUUUCGGUAUUCUCGAUAUUUUAAUGAAGUGGUCAGGACGGAUGAUUUAAUCUUCUUCUUUUGGACUAGUAACCGGUCCAUCACACCCUUUAUAAAUUUAAAAUAUUUUGGAUUUGAAUUCAAA